This 210-nucleotide long non-coding RNA is filed under the name Elaeis guineensis (African oil palm). Its description in RNAcentral is "long non-coding RNA (EGUI_LNC053695)". The record is from RNAcentral. Lineage: Eukaryota; Viridiplantae; Streptophyta; Magnoliopsida; Arecales; Arecaceae.
CCACCACUCUCCGACAGGUCGCAACAAUAGACACCACUUCACUCUUCAUAACAAACUCCACAUGGCCCCACCGCUUUUCCAUAAGUCAUGACAACGGACACCACUCCUCUCCGUAACAAACUCCACGUGGCCCUGAACGGCCAACUACCAGGCAGUUACGGAUGUCGCUGUCAAUCGAUUACGCUCUCUCAUCUAUAAAAGAGACCCCCU